RNA transcript from Populus nigra (black poplar), 2059 nucleotides. It is a transcript of the gene named adenylyltransferase and sulfurtransferase MOCS3, with no coding region annotated. The transcript is spliced from 12 exons. Lineage: Eukaryota; Viridiplantae; Streptophyta; Magnoliopsida; Malpighiales; Salicaceae. The record is from RefSeq and is a predicted model, not a curated record.
AGAAAAAUCAUCGGAAGUGAGUUAGGGUUUUAUCUGCCUUCUUCCUAAGUCGUCAUUAAACUUGAUUGUCUGAAAACAAGAACGAAAAUAAAGGAAUGGAAAACAAAAUGGAGUCAGAUGGAGGUGAAGCUGCUAGAAUCCUCAGCGAAAUUGAAACAUUAAAGGCUACGAGGAGCGACUUAGAUAAUCGAAUUUCUGCUCUCGAAGCUCAGCUCCGUCACUUGAAUUUUGAGAAAAACAACGUUUCCUGUCCUUCAAUAUCCACCGGCUUCGGUCACGGAUUAUCACCUGAUAUGAUAUACCGUUACAGUCGCCAGCUGCUGCUCCCCUCUUUCGGAGUUCAAGGUCAGUCAAAUCUGUUGAAGUCUUCGAUUUUAGUAGUUGGAGCCGGAGGGUUGGGUUCGCCUGCGCUGUUAUAUCUUGCAGCUUGUGGUGUUGGUCAAUUAGGUGUUGUUGACCAUGAUGUUGUUGAACUGAAUAACAUGCACAGGCAGGUUAUACACACAGAAGCGUAUAUUGGUCAGCCAAAAGUGAAAUCUGCUGCUGCUGCCUGUCGCUUGAUCAAUUCUACAAUUCAAAUUGUGGAACACCAAGAAGCUUUACGCACAUCCAAUGCUUUGGAAAUUCUGAGCCAAUAUGACAUAAUAGUAGAUGCAACAGACAAUGCUCCAAGUCGAUACAUGAUCAGUGAUUGUUGUGUGGUUUUGGGGAAGCCACUUGUUUCAGGCGCUGCACUGGGAUUGGAAGGGCAGCUCACAGUCUAUAAUCACAACAGAGGUCCAUGCUAUAGAUGCCUUUUUCCUACUCCUCCACCUACAACUGCAUGUCAAAGAUGUGCCGAUAGUGGAGUUCUUGGAGUGGUGCCUGGCAUCAUAGGCUGUCUCCAAGCAUUAGAGGCCAUUAAAAUUGCAAGUGCUGUUGGUGAACCACUAUCAGAACGGAUGCUUCUUUUUGAUGCCUUGUCAGCUCGAAUUCGUAUUGUCAAGAUCAGAGGUAGAUCAUUACAAUGUGAAGUAUGCGGAGAAAAUUCAGCUUUCACCCAGCAACAAUUUAAAGAUUUUGAUUAUGAGAAGUUCACUCAGUCUCCAUUGUCGGCGGCUCCCCUGAUGUUGAACCUGCUUCCAGAAGAUCACAGGAUACACAGCAGGGAGUUGAAAGAGAGAAUUGUUAAAGGGGAGGCUCAUGUGCUGGUAGACGUACGCCCUGCACACCACUUCAAGAUUGUUUCUCUUCCCAAUGCCAUGAAUAUCCCGUUAUCAAGUCUAGAGUCUAGGUUAGCUGAGAUCUCAUCAGCUUUAAAGGAAGAAGAAAAGCGGAAGGAUAGUGGCUUUGAAUCUGGUGCAAGUCUGUAUGUGAUAUGCAGACGAGGUAAUGAUUCACAGAGGGCUGUUCAAUUGUUGCACAAAGUGGGCUUCACUUCAGCCAGAGAUAUAAUCGGAGGUUUGGAGGCCUGGGCACGUGAUGUGGAUCCGAAUAUCCCUACCUAUUAGAAAACAUUUUAUUUUUUUGCCAUUAUUUUUGUAUGAUUGCUAUCAACUUCUCCCCUGCUGUUCGAAUUAACAUGAGCAGGGAAAUAUCAUUACAAGCAGUGAACUUUAGUGAAAGGGGUCGUGGAAGAGGCAGUCUUGGUCCUCAAAGAGAGUUGCUUGAUGAGGAUUUGUCGCCAGUUGUUAACAUGCUGGAAGGCGGUCUUGACGAUGAACCUGAUCCCGAAGAAACCCUUUUCAUGAAGCUGGACCGUGCAUGAGGUGGAUUGGAGGAGCGAUUAGCAUAGUGCCCUGAAUCUAAAUGGGGUUGGAAGUAGACUCGAGGGUACUGAUUUUCAAGAAAAGAUGCAUGAGGAAGAUUAUUCGGAUUGGGAAGUUGGCUUGGAGAAUUAGUGUGGAAACCAAUGGCUGAAAAUAAGGUGAUGUUUGUGAGGCUAAAAUUGAAAGGCACUGAACUUUAAUGGUGGAAGGGGGUCGAAGAGCAAUGUGUACCAAAUAAAAUUAAACAAAAAAACCAAAUUAAAAAAAAAAUACCAAAUAAAAAAACAAAAAAAUAUCCGGUUUGAUUUGAA